This 454-nucleotide ribosomal RNA is filed under the name Agapophytus sp. SLW-2015. RNAcentral describes it as "partial 16S ribosomal RNA". It matches the Rfam family "Bacterial large subunit ribosomal RNA", at positions 1809 to 2538 of the family's 2925-position model. The record is from RNAcentral. Lineage: Eukaryota; Metazoa; Arthropoda; Insecta; Diptera; Therevidae.
AAAAACAUGUCCUUUAGAAUUUAAUUUAAGGUCUGACCUGCCCACUGAAUUAAAUGGCCGCAGUAUUUUAACUGUGCAAAGGUAGCAUAAUCAUUAGUCUUUUAAUUGAAGGCUUGUAUGAAUGGUUGGACGAAAUAUUAACUGUUUCAUAGAAAUUGGUUUAGAAUUUUAUCUUUUAGUUAAAAAGCUAAAAUGUUUUUAAAAGACGAGAAGACCCUAUAGAUCUUUAUAAUUUAUUUAUUAUAGUUAUUUAGAUAAUUUAAAUUAUAAUUGUAUAAAUUAUUUUGUUGGGGUGACAUUAAAAUUUGAUUAACUUUUAAUAGUUUAUUACAUUGAUUUAUGAUUUAUUGAUCCAUUAUUAAUGAUUAAAAAUUUAAGUUACCUUAGGGAUAACAGCGUAAUUUUUUUGAAGAGUUCAUAUCGAUAAAAAAGAUUGCGACCUCGAUGUUGGAUU